UGGGGAAUAUUGCACAAUGGGCGCAAGCCUGAUGCAGCCAUGCCGCGUGUGUGAAGAAGGCCUUCGGGUUGUAAAGUACUUUCAGUCGGGAGGAAGGUGUCAAGGUUAAUAACCUUGGCAAUUGACGUUACCGACAGAAGAAGCACCGGCUAACUCCGUGCCAGCAGCCGCGGUAAUACGGAGGGUGCAAGCGUUAAUCGGAAUUACUGGGCGUAAAGCGCACGCAGGCGGUUGAUUGAGUCAGAUGUGAAAUCCCCGGGCUUAACCCGGGAGUUGCAUCUGAUACUGGUCAGCUAGAGUCUUGUAGAGGGGGGUAGAAUUCCAUGUGUAGCGGUGAAAUGCGUAGAGAUCUGGAGGAAUACCGGUGGCGAAGGCGGCCCCCUGGACGAAGACUGACGCUCAGGUGCGAAAGCGUGGGGAGCAAACAGG
This 429-nucleotide ribosomal RNA is filed under the name Chloroflexota bacterium. Its description in RNAcentral is "Chloroflexi bacterium partial 16S ribosomal RNA". It matches the Rfam family "Bacterial small subunit ribosomal RNA", at positions 355 to 776 of the family's 1533-position model. The record is from RNAcentral. Lineage: Bacteria; Bacillati; Chloroflexota.